This 73-nucleotide transfer RNA is filed under the name Felis catus (domestic cat). It matches the Rfam family "tRNA". Rfam says of the family: Transfer RNA (tRNA) molecules are approximately 80 nucleotides in length. RNAcentral also lists the same sequence under 3 other names. The record is from Rfam by way of RNAcentral. Lineage: Eukaryota; Metazoa; Chordata; Mammalia; Carnivora; Felidae.
GCCGGGCUGGCUCAGUAUGAAGAGCGUGCGACUCUUGAUCUCGGGGUCGUGAGUUCAAGCCCCACGUUGGGUG